UACGUAGGGUGCAAGCGAUGUCCGGAUUUAUUGGGUUUAAAGGGUGCGUAGGUGGCUUUUUAAGUCAUGGGUGAAAUCCCACAGCUCAACUGUGGAACUGCCUGUGAUACUGACUAGCUUGAGUGCGGUUGAGGCAGCUGGAAUUGGUGGUGUAGCGGUGAAAUGCAUAGAUACCACCAGGAACACAGAUUGCGAAGGCAGGUUGCUAAUCCGUAACUGACACUGAGGCACGAAAGCGUGGGGAUCAAACAGG
Molecule: ribosomal RNA, 253 nt
Filed under: uncultured bacterium
Lineage: Bacteria
Description: partial 16S ribosomal RNA
Rfam family: Bacterial small subunit ribosomal RNA
Source: RNAcentral